RNAcentral lists this ribosomal RNA (467 nucleotides) under Mesenchytraeus rhithralis. RNAcentral describes it as "partial 16S ribosomal RNA". It matches the Rfam family "Bacterial large subunit ribosomal RNA", at positions 1817 to 2596 of the family's 2925-position model. The record is from RNAcentral. Lineage: Eukaryota; Metazoa; Annelida; Clitellata; Enchytraeida; Enchytraeidae.
UGCUUUUUGACACUAUAAAAAGUAACUCCUGCCCAGUGAAAUUAAACGGCCGCGGUAUCCUAACCGUGCAAAGGUAGCAUAAUAAUUUGCCCAUUAAUUGUGGGCUAGAAUGAACGGAAAUACGAAAUAAUAGCUGUAUCAGUAAAAUUAAUAAAAACUAUUUUUCAAGUGAAGAAACUUAAAUAAAAUUAAAGGACAAGAAGACCCUAUAGAGCUUUAUCAAAAUUAUAUAAAUAUAUAAAAUGAUUGGGUUGGGGCGACCUGGAAAAAAUCAUUCCAAAUAUAAAAGAAAAACAAAUCAAUUAAAAGAUCCUAAUAAGACUAAGAAAUAAGCUACCUUAGGGAUAACAGGCUAAUCCUAUUAUAGAGCUCUUAUCGACAAUAGGGAUUGGCACCUCGAUGUUGGCUUAGAAUAUCUUUAUGGCGCAGAUGUCAUAACAUGAAGGUUUGUUCAACCUAUAAUAUUC